AGCGAACGCUGGCGGCAGGCUUAACACAUGCAAGUCGAGCGGGCACUUUCGGGUGUCAGCGGCGGACGGGUGGGUAACGCGUGGGAACGUGCCCUCUGGUUCGGAAUAACUCAGGGAAACUUGAGCUAAUACCGGAUACGCCCUUUUGGGGUAAGGCGUGUUGGCAGAGGAUCGGCCCGCGUCUGAUUCGCUAGCUGGUCAGGUAACGGCUCACCCAGGGGACGAUCAGUAGCUGGUCUGAGAGGAUGAUCAGCCACACUGGGACUGAGAGACGGCCCAGACUCCUACGGGAGGCAGCAGGUGGGAAUAUUGGACAAUGGGCGCAAGCCUGAUCCAGCCAUGCCGCGUGAGUGAGGAAGGCCUUAGGGUUGUAAAGCUCUGUUAUCCGGGACGAUAAUGACGGUACCGGAGGAAUAAGCCACGGCUAACUUCGUG
Molecule: ribosomal RNA, 435 nt
Filed under: uncultured bacterium
Lineage: Bacteria
Description: partial 16S ribosomal RNA
Rfam family: Bacterial small subunit ribosomal RNA
Source: RNAcentral